GUGUCAGCAGCCGCGGUAAUACGUAGGCAGCGAGCGUUGUUCGGAGUUACUGGGCGUAAAGGGUGUGUAGGCGGUUGUUUAAGUUUGGUGUGAAAUCUCCCGGCUCAACUGGGAGGGUGCGCCGAAUACUGAAUGACUUCGAGUGCGGGAGAGGAGAGUGGAAUUCCUGGUGUAGCGGUGAAAUGCGUAGAUAUCAGGAGGAACACCGGUGGUGUAGACGGCUCUCUGGACCGUAACUGACGCUGAGACACGAAAGCGUGGGUAGCAAACAGGAUUAGAUACCCUGGUAGUCCACGCCCUAAACGAUGCAUAUUUGGUGUGGGCAGUUCAUUCUGUCCGUGCCGGAGCUAACGCGUUAAAUAUGCCGCCUGGGGAGUACAGUCGCAAGGCUGAA
This 394-nucleotide ribosomal RNA is filed under the name uncultured bacterium. RNAcentral describes it as "bacterial SSU rRNA". It matches the Rfam family "Bacterial small subunit ribosomal RNA", at positions 505 to 898 of the family's 1533-position model. The record is from RNAcentral.